GGGUGGACGGCGAGAUCGGCGAUGCCCUUGCGAUGUGUGGGGACGGUCUUAAGGUGGACGAAGGGGUCGGCGUCGUAGAUGCAAACGGCGCCAUCGUCGGAGGCGGAGAGGAGGUUGCGGGGGAGGCCGCCGGGGGAGGAGGCCGGGGCGUAGAAAGCGAGGGCGGUGACGGCGCCGCUGUGAUCGAGGAGGGUGCCGACCUCGGCGGCGGCGGCGAGGUCGUAGAGCUUGAUGGCGUCGUCGGAGCCGCCGGACGCGGCGACGGUGCCGGCGGUCGCGACGGCCUUGAUGGGGCCGAUGUGGGAGGGGUAGGAGAAGAGGGGUUUUAGGGUUAGGGUUU
RNAcentral lists this long non-coding RNA (340 nucleotides) under Musa acuminata (dwarf banana). RNAcentral describes it as "long non-coding RNA (MACU_LNC002266)". The record is from RNAcentral. Lineage: Eukaryota; Viridiplantae; Streptophyta; Magnoliopsida; Zingiberales; Musaceae.